AUACGGAGGGUCCAAGCGUUAUCCGGAUUCAUUGGGUUUAAAGGGUCCGCAGGCGGGAAAAUAAGUCAGUGGUGAAAGCCUACAGCUCAACUGUAGAACUGCCAUUGAUACUGUUUUUCUUGAGUAUAGAUGAAGUGGGCGGAAUAUAUCAUGUAGCGGAGGAAUGCAUAGAUAUGAUAUAGAACACAGAUUGCGAAGGCAGCUCACUAAACUAUUACUGACGCUCAGGGACGAAAGCGUGGGGAGCGAACAGGAUUAGAAACCCUAGUAGUCC
Molecule: ribosomal RNA, 274 nt
Filed under: uncultured bacterium
Lineage: Bacteria
Description: partial 16S ribosomal RNA
Rfam family: Bacterial small subunit ribosomal RNA
Source: RNAcentral